GCAACUCGACUACAUGAAGCUGGAAUCGCUAGUAAUCGCGAAUCAGAAUGUCGCGGUGAAUACGUUCCCGGGUCUUGUACACACCGCCCGUCACACCAUGGGAGUUGGGAAUGCCCGAAGCCGGUGACCUAACCGAAAGGGAGGAGCCGUCGAAGGCAGGCUUGAUAACUGGGGUGAAGUCGUAACAAGGUAAC
RNAcentral lists this ribosomal RNA (194 nucleotides) under uncultured bacterium. Its description in RNAcentral is "partial 16S ribosomal RNA". It matches the Rfam family "Bacterial small subunit ribosomal RNA", at positions 1307 to 1500 of the family's 1533-position model. The record is from RNAcentral.